GCUGGGCAUGGUGGCGCGUGCCUGUAAUCCCAGCUACUCAGGAGGCUGAGGCAGGAGAAUUGCUUGAACCCAGGAGGUGGAGGUUGCCGUGAGCCGAGAUCACGCCAUUGCACUCCAGCCUGGGUAACAAGAGUAAAACUCUGUCUCAA
This is an unclassified non-coding RNA of Callithrix jacchus (white-tufted-ear marmoset), 149 nucleotides long. It matches the Rfam family "Metazoan signal recognition particle RNA". From Rfam's summary of the family: The signal recognition particle (SRP) is a universally conserved ribonucleoprotein. It is involved in the co-translational targeting of proteins to membranes. The eukaryotic SRP consists of a 300-nucleotide 7S RNA and six proteins: SRPs 72, 68, 54, 19, 14, and 9. The record is from Ensembl. NCBI's taxonomy places the organism in Eukaryota, Metazoa, Chordata, Mammalia, Primates, Cebidae.